This is a long non-coding RNA of Zalophus californianus (California sea lion), 664 nucleotides long. RefSeq lists it as uncharacterized. The transcript is spliced from 4 exons. NCBI's taxonomy places the organism in Eukaryota, Metazoa, Chordata, Mammalia, Carnivora, Otariidae. The record is from RefSeq and is a predicted model, not a curated record.
CGUUCGGUUGGCAGAUGGGCUCUUCUGGGGGAUCCACUCGCAUCCCCGGGCUGUGUGGGGAUCUCUGGAAGGCUGGGUUCCACUGGGCUGUUGUUGACGGAGUGUCCCGACGUGGCCUCUCCAGCACGGUGGUCUUAAGCUCAAACACAUUUCCUGUGUUCACACUCUGCUCUGCAAUGUGAUUUCCUGAAGCUUGGCUUGGCUCCAGCGGAUGGUAGAGUACCACAGAAAGCCAGCUGGGAGAGGAAAGAGCCUUCGCUUGCAUAAAGUUUUCCAACAUCCCAAUGGUCAGACAGUGGCCUUGCUUGCUGUCAUCAGAAAAGGACAUGUGGGGCCGUUUUGCACUACUCCAAGUGACAGGCUGAAAGUACUCCCUCCCCUCACUAGCCUUGGAUUUACUUUUGAGUGGGAAGAGCAGGACUUGCCCCCACAACUCCAUCCUGUAUCACGUGACCCUGGGACAUGACAAGUAUGCCAAACGAAUGAGUGAGCCAAAUGAUGGUGGUGAUGAGGAUGACAAAGACCACUUCGUUCUAAGAGCUCUAUAUUAAUUCAUUCAAUUCUCACCCCAACUCUGAGGCAGGAACUUCGUUAUCCCCAUGUUAGAGGUGAGGAAAUGAGAUACCGUGAGAUCCAAAGCUAAGAAGCUUUGGGGUUGAGAUUU